Molecule: long non-coding RNA, 1179 nt
Organism: Acinonyx jubatus (cheetah)
Lineage: Eukaryota; Metazoa; Chordata; Mammalia; Carnivora; Felidae
Exons: 6
Source: RefSeq, a predicted model, not a curated record
UUCGGCAACCCGAAGAGCCAAAAACCGACUCUAAGUCAUCUUUUCGAAGCCCUUCCCACUGCGCGAAUUCGAUCCAGGAGGUGACAACCACCCCCGCCUAUCCCCGCCUCCCCAAACCGCUCGAGUGCUCGCAACAGCCACAGGGAACCCCUGGUCACUGACCUAAGAUCGUCAUCUCUCCGGCCAUCACAGUCCCGCCGAAGAGGCUUGGGAUGACUGUACCAGACGUGAGGUGACGCCCCCACACCGCCCCGCAGCCCCAAGGCCUACUGGGUAAUGUAGUUCUUUUUCUCCGACGCAGUCGGAGAAGCUACAUAUAUGACCAGAGAAGGGACUUCAUUUACCGUCAGGUCGCAGGACUGAGAACUUCCAUUCAACAGCUGCCAGUGACGUCUAAGCCGCCCUCCUACGCCGGGGCUACGGAACCAAUGAGGCUGAGGGGGAGGAGAGCCAAGAAGAGGGACUGGAAUUUAUAAUCAAACCUGAAGCGACUGGAGCCAAGUAGAGGAGAGUGGGAUGCUAUAAACCCGAGCUGACACUAUCAGCAAAAGGACUCCAGCAGUUUCUAGAGAAACUACGACGUGAAGAGGGGGAAAAAGAUGGAACCCGUGAGCCAUACCUACCUCUACAACCUCUGCCAAUGCCUGCAGCUCCAGAAUCUUCACUUCCCUGGCUGGGCCCAGGGAAGUUUUGUGCUUAAUUUGGGACAACAGAACGGAGGAAAAAAGGACUUUUAGGAUCAGUGGGUCCAUUUCUGCAAAAUGGCAGAGGAACUAUUGAUACAGUUGCAUUGGAUAUGUAAAUCAUUGGGAUUCCCAGCUGAGGGAGCCAGUGACCUAAUUCUGCUCAGUUCUAAUGCAACAUGGGAGUGAAUUCAGAAUAUCUCGGUACUGGCCUUGCUGGGAUUGCAGAACCCCAAAGUCAUUCUCCUGAUGCAGAGAUGCCACCAGAAUCAAACAGGCCACAAGUUUGCUAACCUGAAGGUCAAUCCUCUGUAAGAACUCCUGCAGAGUCUUGGGUUUUUCCUUUCCACUCCUUCGGUGUGCCUUUAUUUUCUUGGGGGCUGCUUCCUCUUCUGAGAUGACAUCCACAUAAAUAAAUUUGAAGUUUCCCACCUUAUUGUUCAGCAUUCCUGUCCACAUCCCCAUUGGCGUUUUGCAGAUAAUGUCUAUUAUGUCU